This 73-nucleotide transfer RNA is filed under the name Acidobacteriota bacterium. Its description in RNAcentral is "tRNA-Gly". It matches the Rfam family "tRNA". Rfam says of the family: Transfer RNA (tRNA) molecules are approximately 80 nucleotides in length. Their secondary structure includes four short double-helical elements and three loops (D, anti-codon, and T loops). RNAcentral also lists the same sequence under 1 other name. The record is from RNAcentral. Lineage: Bacteria; Pseudomonadati; Acidobacteriota.
GCGGGUGUAGCUCAGUUGGUAGAGCGUCGGCUUCCCAAGCCGAAGGUCGCGGGUUCGAUCCCCGUCGCCCGCU